CCACUAGAUGUUCUGGGCCGCACGCGCGCUACACUGAACAGUUCAACAAGUCUUAACCUUGGCCGAUAGGUCUGGGUAAUCUUUGAACGCUGUUCGUGAUUGGGAUAGACCUUUGCAAUUAUGGGUCUUCAACGAGGAAUUCCUAGUAAACGCAAGUCAUCAGCUUGCAUUGAUUACGUCCCUGCCCUUUGUACACACCGCCCGUCGCACCUACCGAUUGAAUGGUCCGGUGAAAUCUCGGGACGGCGGCUUGGUCGCUUGCGUCCGACUGCUGAAACUUGAUUAAACCAUAUCAUUUAGAGGAAGGUGAAGUCGUANCA
Molecule: ribosomal RNA, 320 nt
Filed under: uncultured eukaryote
Lineage: Eukaryota
Description: partial 18S ribosomal RNA
Rfam family: Eukaryotic small subunit ribosomal RNA
Source: RNAcentral